AACGAACGCUGGCGGCAUGCCUAACACAUGCAAGUCGAACGAGACCUUCGGGUCUAGUGGCGCACGGGUGCGUAACGCGUGGGAACCUGCCCUUAGGUUCGGAAUAACUCCCCGAAAGGGGUGCUAAUACCGGAUAAUGUCUUCGGACCAAAGAUUUAUCGCCUUUGGAUGGGCCCGCGUUGGAUUAGCUAGUUGGUAGGGUAAAAGCCUACCAAGGCGACGAUCCAUAGCUGGUCUGAGAGGAUGAUCAGCCACACUGGGACUGAGACACGGCCCAGACUCCUACGGGAGGCAGCAGUGGGGAAUAUUGGACAAUGGGCGAAAGCCUGAUCCAGCAAUGCCGCGUGAGUGAUGAGGCCUUAGGGUUGUAAAGCUCUUUUACCCGGGAUGAUAAUGACAGUACCGGGAGAAUAAGCGCCGGCUAACUCCGUG
RNAcentral lists this ribosomal RNA (432 nucleotides) under uncultured bacterium. Its description in RNAcentral is "partial 16S ribosomal RNA". It matches the Rfam family "Bacterial small subunit ribosomal RNA", at positions 29 to 507 of the family's 1533-position model. The record is from RNAcentral.